ACUGAAGACUACUGAAGGCUACUAAAGGCUACUAAAGACUAAAGGUUACUAAAGGCUACUAGACUACUGAAGGCUACUAAAGGCUACUAGACUACUGAUGGGUACUAAAGGCUACUAGACUACUGAAGGCUACUAAGGCUACUAGACUACUGAAGGCUACUAAAGGCUACUAGACUACUGAUGGGUACUAAAGCCAACUGAUAGCUACUAAAGACAACUACAGUCUACUAAAGGCUACUGAAGACUACUGAAGGCUAUUAAAGGCUACUUAAGGCUAAAGCCUAUAGGGACAGGGCUGAUAUGUGAGUCAUACCUAACACAAUGGUCACAUUUGGGAUUGCAGGACAAUACUGGCUCAUACACAGUUUAUUUCAAAGCAAUUGCUAAAUUGGAAAAAAUGAAAAAAUCUUAGUUUCACAAAUACUUAAAUAAUAUAAUAUAUCUUUAAAUAGUCUUUUUAUCAGCCAUUGUGUGUUCUUUAAAAUAUUAUUACAAAACGCUCAAAUCUGAACUAUUCUGGUAGUGAACCGCUUAGCAGCUUUCACUGGAAUGAAUGAAACACAGCAUUCACAUCCCUUAAUACAUCCACAGCAUGAACUCUGAAAUGUUCAGCAGAACCAGCGGAUAGCAGAAUGGUCAGAUAACCAUUUAAACUCUUUGAUGAACAAUCUAAAAGAUGAAAUAAAUAAUGCUUUACUCCACAGUUCAUUAUCAUACCUCCACACACAUGAAUACUAAACAUUCAGUAUUUACAAUAAUUACUGUAUAAUAAUUGCAGUAAUUACAAUCCCUUGCAAAGAUGACAUUAUUGUAAUUCUUUUUUUUUGACUUAACUGCCUCAUCACGCAAAUCCUACAUUGGCACAAGAAAUUGUCCUGUUCAUUGACUAAAACUACCAAGCUGGUUUCUACUCGAUCUCAUCAUUAAAGUGAUAAAUAUGCAUUACAUCUCACAACUGUUUAUGUUUUGAAGCUACUUUGACUAAUUCUGAUUAUAUAUUUACUUAUAAUAAGAAGAACGUCUGUUUGAUGAUCUUCAAAACAUGUUGCCACCUCUCUGUUAGGUAAAUGGUGCAUUUAUUAUCUUGUUAUUAAUACUCUGUGAAUAUUUUUGGCCUUGUCCCAUCUGAGAGUUGUGAUUUGAGAAAGAACAACUAGUGGGGAACGAGAGGAAAGACUGUGCUACUGGUGAUGGUGUCAAUCUUCCCAAUGAUCAGUUAUAACCACUCUGAGUUGAUUUUUGAACUUAAUACAAACAGAAACAUAGCUGAUGCUCUUGACUCGGAGCUCCCAGGAGUACUCUUUGCGCGGGCCGACCCCGCCUGCGGUGCAUUCGUUUUCUAGUUCUUGAGAUUUAAACAGUGUCCGCAACACAUGGUGCAACAGCUCCCCGGAGAGAAGCUGUGAUUGCACUCCAGUGCAUGAGAUGAUGUUAUGUUUAAUGUGUCAGUUUGCUCCUUGGGGGGAUCUCAACAUCUGGCGUGCUUUGAGUUGUUGGGGUGCUUCCGCUUCCAUGUUUUUCACUUCUCCUGGUUGGCAUAAUGUUUGGAUUCCUUCUCAAUUAGGCAAAGGAAAGUAUCCAUUUCCUGUUGCAUUCUUCCAGGUUCCGUCCUCGUUCUGUUGAUCCCCUGCAGCUGUUGUUUACAUUGAAUAUGGCGGCUUUGGCCGUCUGAUAAUACAAACCUUAUUUCAGUUUUAGUCUUACUCCUCACAGGUACCGACAGCAGUUCUCUGCAGGUCUCCUGCGCAGCCACCCGUUAGUUAACUGUCCCAAAUCAAAGGCCAGCUCGGUGUGGUGAAAGACCCUUGGCGGAAACUGGGUUUGAUUUGUUGAUGUGAGUGCGCUGAGGGCAGAGUGGGGGCCGAGCAUUAAUGGGAUCGAGACAAUAGGCCAUCACUAAUCAGAGACCUCAAGGUUGCCAUGAGGUUAAUUGUAAUGCAGGUGGCAGUAGGGGAGGGGGCGAAUAAGAAAUGUCCACUCCUUUACUGCCUUGGCGGCCAUUGUGUUCUUACAUUAAGCCCUGGGGCUGGGAUUUGGCUUUCUCCCUCACUCUUUCCCCCGUGUCCUCUUUACCUUUUAAUUUCUUAUUAUCCGCUGAUUCCCAUUCAACCUCCAUGGGUUAAAGAAAACCUUUUGCCACACGUCAAAAGGAAAUGUUAAUAUUGAGCCUGUCCUGGCUGUUGUGAUGCGUAGCAAACCAUUGUGGGUAAUUCAACAGUGUAUUUCACAUUCACUGGAAGCACUCCUGUUGCAUCAUUGUUAUUUGUUUAAACCGGCAGAAACAGCAGACCCCGCUUGCUUUUGUGUCGUUGAAAGGCCAUUCCAAAGAAGAGCCGGGUCAUGAAUACACAAUAGGACAGUGUUUUCAGAGUAGCAUUUGUUUUAGGGUUUUAGGUUUUUGUGUUUUCUUGUUACCAUUUUUCCGGGAGGUUGGACUGAGCUGCAUUUACCGCGCUCAUGUUCUUCCUGUGUUUUCCAGUGGGCUGUUUGAAAGGUUGGGGAGUUUAGAGACACAGACACAUCCCUGAAACCUUGAGUUUAAAAAUUCUUUCCACAAAACAAAAAAUUGCAAAAAAGUACCUUUUGUUUAAAUCUUAGUUUUAGCGUGUUAGUUGGAGAGGUUAUUUUUUUCUAUCCUGGGAUCCAUUGUUUUACUCCAUAUUUCAUUCCCUUUAAGUGACAGAAUAAAAUCUCUGCAAGGUGACCCACAGGCCGGCGUCAGCGCGACCGCAGCACCACUGGACUCACAUGUGUUAAUUCACACACAUGCUCAGCCUGGGGUUGAUGGGAAUGGCAUUCGUUAUAUUUCUCCAUAAAUCACUAUUCAACCAAUCCACAAUCUUUCCUUGAAGUUAAUCAAAGUGCAUUUGGUGGCUAAACCGUCGAUCCACCGGAGAAAACCACAAUCCACAAUCCAGGCCACAAUCAGACUCCCUCACAACCAAACCGACGCAGAAUAUCGCUUCCGCGGGACAAUGUUGGGUCUACUGUAGAAUUUGAUAAAAUAAUCGUAAUCAAUUGUCAGGAUUCCUGACAUGUGUAAUUACUUAAUUAACUUGAGAUUUACUUUUUAUUUUAAUCUGCGUCCCUGUUUGCAGAUUGGAUUUGUUAUAACAGUGAUUAAUCAUUCCAAACCAUCUAUUCGUCCUAUUUGAUCCUUUGAUAUAAUGUCCUCUAAAGUUUGCCGUUUUUUUCCUCCUCUUCCUCUCGCAACUUUGAAAUCUUGCCCAUGACACAAGGAACUCCGUGACGGCCAAUCUCAGCGGCUCAAGUGUCGCGCGUCGCGGUGACGUCUUCUGUUGGAAACUCUCGCCGCUUUCCCCUCCCUUUUGCGUUCGAGAGGGAAAGGGUGAACACGAGCAAAGGGAGGCGGAUUGCCUUGAAAGACAAACAUCUCAGCGUCUGCCAACCUGCAAAUGGCCCCUGUGUUUAUUCAGCUGAGGAUUGGACAGGAGCCAGUGCAUCACUGGGGCACCGCGGCAUAUGUGAGGGCAAUGCGCUGAAAUUUGCGUUUGAUACAUAACAAAUGAGACGGUAUUGAGCAGCAGGGGUGCUGGGAAGGCAUUGCUGGAUGAGGUACAGCCGGUAUGGUCGAGGGUAAGAGGAGGGAAGGGGGCACCGUGUCUCUGCCAAGAACCUUCCUCACCAAAGCAUCGUCUUGGGAGACUUGCUUUUGUUGAUUUAUGUCUUAAAAAAAAGGGAGGGGGGGGGUUCAAACAAAAAUGAGUAAUUUGUUGUCAUCUGUGUUACUUUACAGUGACGUUUUAAACAAAAACUCCCAUUGACCAAAGACUGGAUCUCUACACUUCUACUCUGAUCACCUGUCUGUGUCGAAAAUGCUAAAAACCCUCAAAGCAGCCGCCUUCCGUUUAGAAAGCCUUCACAUCUCGCUUGCUUUCAACUUUAUUUUUAAUCCAAAUUUGCAACUUCCCAAUAGCAUUAACCUGGUGAUUAUACAGUACACUAGCUUUAGAUGCACCUUUCAUCUCUCACCCACUUCAUGUGACCAGGACCUUGGUCUGACAAAACUAUUCCAACUAUGGGCUGAUACGUACCACAUUCAUCCGGAUAUGUGACAUUGAGAGGGACAAGCAGAACCGGCGUGGCGAUUAAGGCCCCAUUAUCACCUGUGCCUCCAAGACAUCCGUGACUUUGCCAGACAUCCGAAUGGGCAGGAAAUCUGUCGAGCUGCAGACUAGCAGUGACUUUGAAAUCAACCUCUUUCAACGAGUAAAGCACUUUGAAAACGCAUGAUGCUGCUUACCUGGAGCAGAUCAUCUGCCGUCGCUACGCGUCUUUUGGGGCGGGGGGUGGUGGAGGGGGUUGGUCCAUCACAUCCGUCAAAGUGUUCAGGCGGGUUUGUGUCAAGCGGAACAUUCUUUCAUCUUGCUUAAGGAGGAGUGUGGCGUUUAUGCCUCCAGCUAAGCUCUGAACUGACACCUUCCGUCCUGCUUGCUUGGCCUUAACUGGGGGUUGAUCAGCAGCUCUCAAAUUCCGUCUGAGUGGAACCUCGUGUCACUGUCGGGGUUUUUAAUCCGAAUCUUUUUACUACAUCGCCCCACGGUGACGUUCAUUCAAACUCGAGUUGCUCAAGUUCCUGUUUUUGAUCCAGCAUUUUUCUCAAAAGGUUUUCUUUGAGGAUUCAAACAAAAUCGCCAAAUUGUUACAAUUGGUGGAAUCGGUUUUCAACAACUUGAAUGUUCAGGAAUCACAUUGUUAGUUCUUGAGUUGAAAGCACACUUGCCAUAUUGCACAAAAUGAUUGGCUAAUAAUAUUUCAGUGUCGGAAGAUCUAAUCACGAUCAAGAGCCUGGUGCAACAAGUCGGGUUCUUAAUGAAAUCAUGUUCGCUCGUCACCAUCUCACACCACCUCUCGUCUUAGAUGUAGCACCUAUAGGGAGGCGUAGACCGUCUCGAGGGAGAUUGUGUAAUUCUUUGAGGCUUGUUGAAGGGAAAUGUGUCUAAAUUCCCAGCUUGACACCCAUCUACGCCACCUCUGCUACUGUGGGAUCCAGUGUCUUUGGGAGAGGGGGGUGUUCAAACACGAGAACUCCUUCAUUAUCAGAUGAUUUUGUUUAAGGUACAUAGGAGGACUAAAUUCAUGAUCAACCGUCCCCCGAUAGCACUGAUUACAGAGAGUUAAAUACUAGUGUGGAAAUGUUGUAGGUGGAUAAUUGUGUGCUUAGCGGAUAAAUGAAGUUGUAAAAGCCAUCUGGUACAUUUCAUUGUAAAACUAAGGAGCAUGGAGGUUUCUUUUGCUUCUAUUCACCUGAAAAGGAGUGAAAAAAGCCUUCAGGGUGUUUGUACUGAGGCAAUGAAGACAUCUCACACGUCUUGCUUCUUUAUGUGUUUUCAUUACGAACGGCAGUGAAUCAUACUUUAUAAAUGGCCCUGUGAAAAAAAAAGAAAGAAUAAAGAGCAUCCAGACUCCCUGACCUCUUUACAAGAACCGACCAACAGGGAUGGUUCUCAAUGCAACAACAUGAUUUGUAUUUUUACAUUUGCUUUACAUACGAUUAUAUUACAUAUUUUCAGUUCGCAAUUACAAUCAGGUUGCGUUGCAGGUUUAGAUGUAAUCCCAAAGUAAUACAAAUUCAGCUCACAGCUAAUGAUAUUCAUGAGCUGCAGCGUACCCCAGUGCUCUGCCUGUAGCUUGUACCUAUUGUUAAGCCUUCCUAUCCACCCCUGAGGUACAGGCUUGUGGCAACAUUUAAGUAAAUGACAUAAUCUUACACUUAUGCGUAGUGCAGAAAAGCCGUGAUUGAAAUUGAAAGUAUAUUGCAGGCCCGAUCCUUAACGUCUGCUUCGCAUCACAUGUCUUCGUCUUAAAAAACAUGGCUGGGAAAUGAACUCUUUAAAUCACGGCGUCUUCCGUGAUUAGAUAAAAUACUUGACGUUAUUAAGAAAAAAACCCCGAUGCUCUACUCUCAAACAUCAAAGCGGCUGAGUCCGUUGUUAUCCUUCAUGUCAUUAUCAUGAGCCGUUCUAAAGGACAUGGAAACUACCGUAAGACAAUAACCUCCUUAGGUACAAGGCUAAGUCUCAGCUCCGUCUGCAUUAGGCAGAAAAAAAAGGCUUGUGUAAUUAGUCGUGCACUAUAAAUCAAGUGGUGUGAAUCUAUUUCGCCAUGCCCUAAUUGAAAGUGCUCUCUUUUUUUUCCGGGGCUGCUGUAGUCGGACACAGAGCUCCAUCGGAUGGUGAUAGAUGUGGAAUCCAGCACAAACAGUUUGAACCAGUCAGGCCGUGAUUGAUCAGUACCCUCUGGGAUGUCGGGUGGAUCUUUCUCCUUCAAGCAGAAGAUAAAAGCCUUAACGACUCUCCAGUCUUGUUGUACCUCCCAAUUGUGUGUCUGUGUGUGUGUGUGUGUCUCUCUCUCUCUGUGUGUCAGGGUUUCAUUAUUUCGCAGUGUUUGACCUUGAAGGUUGUGUGUGCAUUUGGUCUGUGAUGUCUCAAUGAUUUCUCUUUUAAGUGCCAAACGGUGCCUUUUAUGCACUAUUGAUGCUGCUAUACACACUACAUUACUGCCCCAUGGAGGAGGCGAUUUGCAUGAAAAUUUAGUUGAUUUAUGACUGGAUUCUACAGCAUUUUCUAUAACCACCCAGCGCAUUUUUGCAGGGGCUUAGUAGUGGCCGUAGUGAUGCCACAGUACAGUGCUGUAACACAACUUCAAAGGCCGUUUUGUUCACACGCACCCUGACAAAAACACGGGGUGACUUCCAGUGGCAAAGGUGGACCAGCUGGACUAUUUUGUUCUCCGCUUGUGUGUGUGUGUGUGUUUUUUUUUUCUUUCUUUCUGUUUUCGCCCUCUUCAUCGUCCCCACUUCUUCCCCCAUCUUUUUUUAAAAUUUUCUCCAAGCAUUUGCUCCGGAGAUUUACACUUGCUGUUGUUUGAUAGAAUUAAAGGAAAAAGAAAAAAAAACGGCAAGCAGGAGAGCGGGCAGUGCUGGAGAUUCAGGUUCGGCGUGCGGUAUUUCUCGGCUGAUCGUCUUACAUCGGCGAUGGAUGUGGCUUUUAGAUGUGGAGGUGCAUCAGAGGGGAUCACUCGGCAUCUGGCCCAACACUCUUGUGUCACCGUGACCCUCCUGUGGGGGGAGGCUGUGAGGGCCACAGCAGGGGGUCCCACUGAAAAGCAACAUAAAUUUCAGAGGGAGAAUCAAUAGACUGUGAGAAUUGUGAGAGAUGCAUUGGUUUGGACUCUCUGACUGUGACCCCGUUACUUUACUAUAUAGAAGUCGCCAGGGAGGCAGCCACAAUCCUCAACAACAGUAAAAAUAACAACGUUAAACAACAACACAGAGAUCCAAACGAGGCCAGACACUUCUUCAGACUACUUCUUUCAAUUAUCACACUAACCCAACCAACCAACACCAAAUUCUGCGGCAUGGCUGUAUUUUCAGGAUGGCUUUAGAGGGAGAAAAGAAUAUAGUCUGUUACGUGGGGGAAGACCUAUUCUCCCACAAGAUGUAUAAAUAGCCGCAGCCAUGGCCCUCUGUGUCAAAGUUAGGACACUCAGUGGGGUGCACACUUCAAAGCAACCAGGGAAUUCUCCAAAGCAACUGCUGGCAAUUUCAAAUCAGCAUUCCCUCUGAAAGCAAGGCAACCUUUCACCUGUUUGUGGACUCGGGAUAACUAGAGGAGGAAAUGUCAAAUUCAGAUUACAGUACAGCAUAUAUACGUAGAACCGCCUGUAUGGGCCUAUAUGUCAUCAAUGUGCUUAAAAUAGAUCUUUUUAAAAUAUUGUUGUUGCCUAAGCAACAAAAUAAUACAAAACCAUUUUUUGGUUUGAGCCAAAGUUAAAAAAAAUGAUACAUGGUUUCAUAGUUUCAGCGUUGGCAACAGAUUUUAUCCCCAAAACUGAAAACGCGGUUGAUCAGGCUUGAAAAAAACGUCAAUAAUUUCCCCCAAAUAUAUUUAAACCAGAAACGCGAAAGCCAGGCUCUUCAUUUUAAUUUGAACGAAUACAUGUGCUUAUUUGUUUUGGUCUUCAAACACCCGACAUGAACCAAACAAAGAUAGCCUUAAGCCUAUCGAAUGAAGACAUGUGGUUAACAUGGUAUUGUGUCUUUGAAGGAGUCGGCAUGUGGUGCAUUGUGGGUAGUGGGGUGCUCUCUGGCCACAGUAGGAUACCGGCGGCCCCGUCCAGUUUACAGGUGCUGUCGCCUUCUCCUCCGUCAUAUUAAUUAUGGGAUGAAAAAAAAAGCCUCUAAUCCCUGAGCCUUUGAAGUAGGCCACUUUCUGAAAGGCUACAACCGAAAUAUCACGCUCACACACACACACACAAACACACACACACACACACACACACACACACACACACACACACACACACACACUAUCACACCUACAGGAAACGUAUGUAUGCUCUUUCAAAAUAUAAAAGAAUCCAUGUGCACAUUUCUUUUCAUGCUUCUUUCUAGUUGGAUGAUUUAGUGUUUUUUUUGCUGAUGACGAUCUUCAUGUGACAUUUUAUAGCAGCUAAAACUCUUUGGAUUAUAGUUUCUUUAUCCGUGUGAUUAAACCUGUACAGCAUAUAAUUUCCUCCAAGGAUUAGUUCACCCAAAUGCUCUGCUGGCAGCCAUUUGGGUUUCUGCAACAUUUCUCAGCUCUGAAUGAAAGAUAAUGUUGAUGUUCCAAGUUAUUUUCAACAGCAACGAGGUGCAAUUCGCGUUUCAUCUCCUCCACAAAGAGAGCAAACAACUCAUUCACUGAAAGUUCCCUGAAUUUUACAUUAUUCAACUCACUUCCCACAACCUCCUCUUUGAUAAUCUGCUCAGAGCCAGCGAAGCCGAGACGACGCAAGGUUAUCUCGCUCAUUUUUGUAUUUCUUUUUAUUAAUUUGCCGAUUCUGUUUGUUGUCUCGUCUGAAAACGCACACUCGCGCAGAUGGAUAGCGCUCUCCACCAAGAUGAAAGGGGAAUCCCCGCUGAACGGUCACGCAAAACUGUCACCCCGUCCCCGGUAAGCAGACUGUGGUCUCGUUUCCCCUCUGUAAUCAGAUCUCGGGCCUGCACUUCACUGAGGAAAACAGCCAUUGGAGAUUGGCGGCCUACAACCGUUUUUUUUUUCCUUUUUUUACGGCUGUUGUUUCAGGUGGGCGGCGAGUUGGUGGGCCGGGCGGCUGGCGGAGGGAUUUUACACUGCCCUCUUGUGCUCCGAAGCACGCUGUACUGCCUUCACUCUGUUUCGCGCCGAUUGCAUUUUUACCGCUGUGGGUCCCGGCAGCGUCGACGGCGCGGCGGCAAACAACAAAACCGCCUACUGUGCAGUUAAAUAUGAUGUAAAUAUGAUUGAAAAUGCUGCGAGAUGUGGGUGCUGUUUUGUUUUUUGUUGAUCUCUGCGGUCAUGCAGUUUUAUCGUGAAGCCUGCAGGUUUAUACAAACAGACACAAAUGACUGCAAAAGCACAUUCCUACUUUUGCUAAUGCCUGUGAGUGGGCUUCUAUGAUACAAAAAUAUUAGUGGCGUGUUGCUUUGGCACAAUGCUUUUAAAGCACAACAGUUCUGCUUGUCAAAGAAUCACAUUGAUUAGUGGUUUUCUUUCACUAUUUGUUCAGCUUUAUGUUUUCUAUUAAAAAAAGGACGACCUUUCCCUUCAAAAGACGAACCGUUUAUUUAAUAAAAUGACAAAAGCAGCAUUUUUUGAAAGAAUAAAACAAACACCUGAAUGUCCUCUCUAUUAGGGCAGAUUUAGCACGCGGUCGACAGCGAGGGCUGCAGCUCUUCCUGCUCUGCCACACGUCAAAAGGAUAGAGAGGAAUAAUUGUUUGAUCUGUCCUUUUGCCUGUCGCUGCCCUAAUCACUCAAGACUGAUUCAGAAAAUGCAGGCUUGAAUGUCAGAGGGCCUCCUGUGGAGAGGCGGAGCGUUUCAGCGGCUUUGGACAGCCGUGCACCGGUAAUCACCACUCUCAACCUGGCCGGGCACUCCAGCACUCCCCUGAUUGAGCACCUCAAUCUAACAAGGUGCUGUUGCCGGAGCCGGAGAUUCUGCCAGGUUUUGACAAACCAGCGGAUUGUCCCUGAUCAUCAUGGGACAUUGCUUUUUUUUUCGCGGCUCAGCCAUGCGUGCCGCAGGGCAAACCUCGGAGAGUCAGGCACACCUGCCAGCGCUGUGAACGUCAGCGCUGCGCAUGAAAUUAAAAAUCAGCUCGAAGGUUGCCGUCCUUUGAAAGCAGAGGGGGGAGGGGGAAAAAAAGGGAAAAAAAAUCAAAUGGGUCGACGUCAUUUGGAGGAUCUGCUUGUUUCCUGUCAUGUUGGAGCCAUUUUGGGAACGUUGUUUACAUUUCCCCUGUGAUUCCUGACUGCUUCCACGCUUCCUGUGACCCUGUUUCAGCCUGUGACACCGGGGCCUCGCCCCGAGGGAAAAUACAUCCCGAUCCGAGCUAGAUAGCAGCGUGUUUACAAUUACCUUUAACCUCAAGCUUUUACCCCAAGAGGCGUAAUUGAUUACAGUAGCAAGCAGCAGUCCGUCAGGCUUUGAAUUGUGAUAUUUUUCUAUAGAUUUGACACAGCUACGGCGGCAACUAACAGUUGGUCUCAUAAUCAAAUAAGCUGUAAAUAUCAUUU
Long non-coding RNA from Gasterosteus aculeatus aculeatus (three-spined stickleback), 10561 nucleotides. NCBI's taxonomy places the organism in Eukaryota, Metazoa, Chordata, Actinopteri, Perciformes, Gasterosteidae. The record is from Ensembl.